CUACGGGUUGCUGCAGUGGGGAAUCUUGGACAAUGGGCGCAAGCCUGAUCCAGCCAUGCCGCGUGAGUGAAGAAGGUCUUCGGAUUGUAAAGCUCUUUUGCCAGGGACGAUAAUGACGGUACCUGGAGAAUAAGCCCCGGCAAACUUCGUGCCAGCAGCCGCGGUAAUACGAAGGGGGCUAGCGUUGUUCGGAAUUACUGGGCGUAAAGCGCACGUAGGCGGGUCGUUAAGUCAGGGGUGAAAUCCCGGAGCUCAACUCCGGAACUGCCUUUGAUACUGGCGAUCUUGAGAUCGGAAGAGGUGAGUGGAAUUCCCAGUGUAGAGGUGAAAUUCGUAGAUAUUGGGAAGAACACCAGUGGCGAAGGCGGCUCACUGGUCCGAUACUGACGCUGAGGUGCGAAAGCGUGGGGAGCAAACAGGAUUAGAUACCCCUGUAGUC
Molecule: ribosomal RNA, 439 nt
Filed under: uncultured bacterium
Lineage: Bacteria
Description: partial 16S ribosomal RNA
Rfam family: Bacterial small subunit ribosomal RNA
Source: RNAcentral